Molecule: long non-coding RNA, 650 nt
Organism: Hemicordylus capensis (graceful crag lizard)
Lineage: Eukaryota; Metazoa; Chordata; Lepidosauria; Squamata; Cordylidae
Exons: 2
Source: RefSeq, a predicted model, not a curated record
AACAGUUGGGUCUCCUCAUUGCCUCAGCUGGGACAGCUUCGCUCCUCCAGGACUAUCUCAUACAGUGGCCAAAGUUAUGGGUCAUGACCUGGCCACAGAGAGGCCCAUUGGGCAUGCACGGCGGCCUCCCAAAUGGCAGCUGCAAUGGAAGGUCUCCACUUGAAGUUUCUUACACGUCAAUGGGAAUUUUAAGGAUGUUUGGUACUGGACUGCAAAAUCAUGCGACUCAAAUUUACUGGGGUCCCAAAUUCUUUCGACAGUCUCCUGCUACCCAUAACAAAUCAAAGGGAGUGACCAGGCUUAUCAAAGCAGAAGUAGCAAGCUCUUUUCUCCAAGAGAGGGCAGUAAGCCAAAGCCGACCCUUGAUGGAAAUGUGCGGUGGUAUACCUCAUUAGCUACCAGGCUACAUCUGCUGCAUUUCAUCGCUGAAUCAUUAGCCAUGACAUACUAUCUUGAAAGAAAAUGUUAACACCAAGUCUGGAAAAGAUUUCCCUCCACAAGAAGAUAUACCCAAGAUAAAAAGGAGAUUGCUCAGCCCUCUGGGUUUCUGCUAAAUGAAGCGAGGGCCAUAGAUGAACAUUAGGCCUUAAUGGCAUUAAUGUUUUUGUUUUCUUCCACUUUCCAAAAACUGAAAUAAAAUCUGGAGUAAG